UUCUGAGAAUUUCCCCACAACCUGUUUAAAUUGUUUUGGUCUUUGUUUUAUCCUCUGCAGAGUAUUGAAUUUAGAUAAAUCCUUUGGUAAAUUAACAAUUUGCUUUUACUAAAUCGACUGAAUUGAGUCCUCUAAGUUCAAUUCCUUAGGGUUUUCCUUAAAUUUUCAUCAGUAUUUCCUUUUGGAGAGGGUGAUUGACUGUCAAAGCAACUAAAAAUGAACUACCUUGCUACUUUUCUAUUUAAUCUUUAUUUUCAUACAAAAGAAGCGUCAUGUAUUAUAAGUUGAGUAUUUUGUAAUAAAUGUAAGCAAUAUUCAGA
Molecule: long non-coding RNA, 320 nt
Filed under: Bos taurus (domestic cattle)
Lineage: Eukaryota; Metazoa; Chordata; Mammalia; Artiodactyla; Bovidae
Description: long non-coding RNA NONBTAT025079
Source: RNAcentral